UGCUUAGUUUGGUGGUUCCUUGAGCUUUUCUAUUCGGUAUAUGUGAUGUGGGGCUUGGUUUCCUGACCUUUCGCUCCCACAUGCACCCUCUCCAAAGUAUAUGAUAAUUAGAGGAGAAAGCUGGCUGCCUAACUUUGUGGUCGCUUUAGCAGUCGCGGGGAAUCUUUAAAUAUGUAAAUUGAGGGCGACUGGAAACAAAGCUAGAUUGGCCCCUCUAAAUUUCUUGGCUUUCUUUUUCCAUGAAUCAAUUCAUAAGCCAAUAUACUGUAAAAUUGGCAUCAAUCGUUUUCCCUUAGCUGGAACUACACAGCCCAGGUCCUCUUGCAACCGAUUUCCAUUCCUUUUCACAGCCCGAACGACGACGAAUUAAAUCGUUUUCGAAACGUAGCUGAGGGACCAACAGACAUGGUUGACGGGGACAUAAGGCAGUUCGAUGGCUUUCGCAAGUCACAACUGUGGUCAGAACCGAGUGCUGUGCAGGAGAGGCUAUGGAAUGGAAGGAUUUCUGCUGUAUUGGUGAUUACAAAGAGACUGGAAAUUAGGUUAGUUUGUCUCUCUCUCUGCUUUUUUCAGCCUUCGGCCCUUUUUUGUUGCCUUAGAAAGAAAAAAACAAACGCGGAUCUCAGCCUUUCUGCAAGGCCUAAAAAGCUAGAGCCCUCGUGAUGAUUUUGGCUUUCGACACCAAAGUAGUGUAUUGCAUUUACAAAAAAGAAAACGAGAUAUAAAAAUGUCUUGGGUUUCCACAUGUUGCAGCUGGUGUGCGUCCCAAUAUAUACUAUUCGUUGACGCAGGAGAUUCCUUAAUUUCAUGGGGGCAAAGACAAGAGGAAGCGAACUGCAAAUUUAGUACUAACGGUGGAUCGAUUUUUUAUUCAAGUAUCCAAUUAACCUGUAAUUUAUCUAUUUGAGUUGAGUUGCUUGUUUUUAAUUUAUAUUUUUUCUCAUCUGUCUUCGUAUCAAGAACCUGUAUGGCAACAUGUUGCCCUACAGGUGAAACAUGUGUUUCGGAUA
This is a long non-coding RNA of Populus euphratica (Euphrates poplar), 1010 nucleotides long. RefSeq lists it as uncharacterized. The record is from RefSeq and is a predicted model, not a curated record. NCBI's taxonomy places the organism in Eukaryota, Viridiplantae, Streptophyta, Magnoliopsida, Malpighiales, Salicaceae. The transcript has 2 exons.